GAUGAACGCUGACAGAAUGCUUAACACAUGCAAGUCGACUGGAAUUCUUCUUCGGAAGUUAGUACGGUGGCGGACGGGUGAGUAACGCGUAAAGAAUUUGCCCUUCAGGCUGGGACAGCUAACCAAAAGGUUAGCUAAUACCGGAUAUUAUGAGACCUUGGUAUCAAGGACUUAUGAAAGCUAUAUGCGCUGGAGGAGAACUUUGCGUCCCAUUAGGUAGUUGGUAGGGUAAUGGCCUACCAAGCCGACGAUGGGUAGCCGGCCUGAGAGGGUGAACGGCCACAAGGGGACUGAGACACGGCCCUUACUCCUACGGGAGGCAGCAGUGGGGAAUAUUGGACAAUGGACCAAAAGUCUGAUCCAGCAAUUCUGUGUGCACGAUGAAGGUCUUCGGAUUGUAAAGUGCUUUCAGGUGGGAAGAAGAAAGUGACGGUACCACCAGAAGAAGCGACGGCUAAAUACGUGCCAGCAGCCGCCGCGGUAAG
This 485-nucleotide ribosomal RNA is filed under the name uncultured bacterium. RNAcentral's name for it is "bacterial SSU rRNA". It matches the Rfam family "Bacterial small subunit ribosomal RNA", at positions 28 to 524 of the family's 1533-position model. The record is from RNAcentral.